Long non-coding RNA from Fukomys damarensis (Damara mole-rat), 492 nucleotides. RefSeq lists it as uncharacterized. NCBI's taxonomy places the organism in Eukaryota, Metazoa, Chordata, Mammalia, Rodentia, Bathyergidae. The record is from RefSeq and is a predicted model, not a curated record. The transcript has 3 exons.
GUUAAUGAAGCUAACUAGGUUGAGCAUCAGUCUAAAGACUCUCUGAAUAAUGAAGCAAGAACUCCUGGUACAAGCACAAAGGUGGAAACUCUUCUGAACAGCCUCAGAAUGAGACAGGCACACAGCCCUGAGCUGAGCACUUGGCAGCCAUACCCAGUAGUGGCCCGGGGGCCACAUAAGGUGUCCUGACUCUAAGUACAAAGAACUCAUUCCUGUCCGGGAAACACAUGAACUUGGACACUGCUUAAAAAAAGGAAAGAGCCCUCCCAUCCCCAACUGGAGCCCAGUACAGGGACGAUAAAGAUGCUGACCCUAAGGACUGUUGUAAAGAUUAAACUGGAUCAAGCACAUGAAAGCAAGACAUGAGUAGUAAAGCCCUGAGCCUGAGGAAGUAGAGGGUCCAGCCCACAGACAAUGAGGGAAGAGCAGGCCAAUGUCUCAACUCACCGCCAUCACCUCUUCUUAUGCACAACAGAAAGCUUGUGCUUGGCU